Molecule: ribosomal RNA, 426 nt
Filed under: uncultured beta proteobacterium
Lineage: Bacteria; Pseudomonadati; Pseudomonadota; Betaproteobacteria
Description: bacterial SSU rRNA
Rfam family: Bacterial small subunit ribosomal RNA
Source: RNAcentral
GGGGAAUUUUGGACAAUGGGCGCAAGCCUGAUCCAGCAAUGCCGCGUGCAGGAUGAAGGCCUUCGGGUUGUAAACUGCUUUUGUACGGAACGAAAAGCCUCUCUCUAACAUAGGCGGUGGAUGACGGUACCGUAAGAAGAAGCACCGGCUAACUACGUGCCAGCAGCCGCGGUAAUACGUAGGGUGCGAGGUGUAAUCGGAAUUACUGGGCGUAAAGCGUGCGCAGGCGGUUUGGUAAGACAGGUGUGAAAUCCCCGGGCUUAACCUGGGAACUGCGCUUGUGACUGCCAGGCUAGAGUACGGCAGAGGGGGGUGGAAUUCCACGUGUAGCAGUGAAAUGCGUAGAGAUGUGGAGGAACACCGAUGGCGAAGACAGCCCCCUGCGCCUGUACUGACGCUCAUGCACGAAAGCGUGGGGAGCAAACA